Molecule: ribosomal RNA, 253 nt
Filed under: uncultured bacterium
Lineage: Bacteria
Description: partial 16S ribosomal RNA
Rfam family: Bacterial small subunit ribosomal RNA
Source: RNAcentral
UACGUAGGGUGCAAGCGUUAAUCGGAAUUACUGGGCGUAAAGCGUGCGCAGGCGGCUUUGCAAGACAGAUGUGAAAUCCCCGGGCUUAACCUGGGAACUGCAUUUGUGACUGCAUGGCUGGAGUGCGGCAGAGGGGGAUGGAAUUCCGCGUGUAGCAGUGAAAUGCGUAGAUAUGCGGAGGAACACCGAUGGCGAAGGCAAUCCCCUGGGCCUGCACUGACGCUCAUGCACGAAAGCAUGGGGAGCAAACAGG